Molecule: ribosomal RNA, 621 nt
Filed under: Cronobacter turicensis
Lineage: Bacteria; Pseudomonadati; Pseudomonadota; Gammaproteobacteria; Enterobacterales; Enterobacteriaceae
Description: partial 23S ribosomal RNA
Rfam family: Bacterial large subunit ribosomal RNA
Source: RNAcentral
GGGUUGUGAGGUUAAGCGAACAAGCGUACACGGUGGAUGCCCUGGCAGUCAGAGGCGAUGAAGGACGUGCUAAUCUGCGAAAAGCGUCGGUAAGGUGAUAUGAACCGUUAUAACCGACGAUGUCCGAAUGGGGAAACCCGGUGCACUUCGGUGCAUCAUCGUUUGAUGAAUACAUAGUCAAACGAGGCGAACCGGGGGAACUGAAACAUCUAAGUACCCCGAGGAAAAGAAAUCAACCGAGAUUCCCCCAGUAGCGGCGAGCGAACGGGGAACAGCCCAGAGCCUGAAUCAGCUUGUGUGUUAAUGGAAGCGUCUGGAAAGUCGCACGAUACAGGGUGAAAGUCCCGUACAUGAAAGCACACAGGCUGUGAGCUCGAUGAGUAGGGCGGGACACGUGAUAUCCUGUCUGAAGAUGGGGGGACCAUCCUCCAAGGCUAAAUACUCCUGACUGACCGAUAGUGAACCAGUACCGUGAGGGAAAGGCGAAAAGAACCCCGGCGAGGGGAGUGAAACAGAACCUGAAACCGUGUACGUACAAGCAGUGGGAGCCUUCGUAAGAGGGUGACUGCGUACCUUUUGUAUAAUGGGUCAGCGACUUAUAUUCUGUAGCAAGGUUAACCG